UCGAGCUGAACAACUGUCUUUGUGUCACUGCGACCUAACGGCCCUCACAUUGAACAUUUGUCACCACUUUGAGACGACAAUAAUCGUGGCAAUGAUCACUAGCUUCAAUUACGUUACUUCCACUGUCUAUUUUUUAAUCUACUUUCUGGCACGUUCUUACGAAGCCAAUUUGUUUGUUUUGUUCGGUAAUAACUUUGCUUUUCUUUCGUUCUACGUGUUUUGGCUUCUUCUAAUUCUGGAGAUGUUCACGAGGACCGAAAAAGAGGCCAAUAUAACCGGACGUUACAUACACGAUAUUUGGAAUAAGUUUGAAGCGAAUGGAAAUAUGACUAAAAAGCUGCGACAUCUUCAGCUAGUUUCGAUUCGUUUUCUGAACAAUAAACUGGAAUUUAGGGCAAGAAAUUUUUUUCGACUGGAUUGGAGUUUUUGCCACACUAUGAUAGCUGCCAUAACCACUUACGUUAUUAUAUUAGUUCAGUUUCAUAUCUAAUCUUUCUAUAGUACAACGGUUUUAAUAAAACAUUAAAUUAACAAUAAACUUUACAAAAAAUUCAAAAUUUACGUCUAUUAAUGUA
This is an RNA transcript of Tribolium castaneum (red flour beetle), 575 nucleotides long. RefSeq lists it as uncharacterized. The transcript is spliced from 3 exons. NCBI's taxonomy places the organism in Eukaryota, Metazoa, Arthropoda, Insecta, Coleoptera, Tenebrionidae. The record is from RefSeq and is a predicted model, not a curated record.